Molecule: long non-coding RNA, 390 nt
Organism: Ochotona curzoniae (black-lipped pika)
Lineage: Eukaryota; Metazoa; Chordata; Mammalia; Lagomorpha; Ochotonidae
Exons: 3
Source: RefSeq, a predicted model, not a curated record
GGUUCAGACCCAGAAUGUCAAGACCAAUUGCCAUUGAAUCUGUGCUUAGUGAUAUCUGAAGUUGUGUGCAACACUCCUGCUGGACCUGUUCUUUUCCUUGAUAAUGAAGCAAGGCAAACAGUGCAAAGUAAGUUACCUCACUCCCUGAGAGAGAAGGCAGAGUGUGUGAGCAUCAAGAUAAAUGAGUCAUUAAACUUCACCCAGCUUAUUGUUCAUCACUUGAGAAAUCUCCAAAAGUUUUAACCAAACCACAACAAAGAAUGUCUUUCAAGGGUUCAUCUGUGGGAGGCUGACAGGUGGAAGAUGAUGAACUCAGCAGAUCUGUUAUCCUCCAGAGGACAGAGGAGAUCUGAUCCCAUAUGGACGCCAGUUCUAAUCCCAGCAGUCCCA